CACACACACACAGCAGUGUGUGUAUGUGUGUAUAUAUGUAUAUAUAUAUAUAUAUAUAUAUAUAUAUAUAUAUAUACACAUAUAUAUACAUACAUACAUACAUAUAUGCGGCGUGUGCUUG
Molecule: microRNA precursor, 121 nt
Filed under: Pelobates cultripes (western spadefoot toad)
Lineage: Eukaryota; Metazoa; Chordata; Amphibia; Anura; Pelobatidae
Source: RNAcentral